Molecule: ribosomal RNA, 301 nt
Filed under: uncultured bacterium
Lineage: Bacteria
Description: partial 16S ribosomal RNA
Rfam family: Bacterial small subunit ribosomal RNA
Source: RNAcentral
CAGUCGCCGCGGGAAUACAGAGGGUGCGAGCGUUAAUCGGAUUUACUGGGCGUAAAGCGUGCGUAGGCGGCUUUUUAAGUCGGAUGUGAAAUCCCUGAGCUUAACUUAGGAAUUGCAUUCGAUACUGGGAAGCUAGAGUAUGGGAGAGGAUGGUAGAAUUCCAGGUGUAGCGGUGAAAUGCGUAGAGAUCUGGAGGAAUACCGAUGGCGAAGGCAGCCAUCUGGCCUAAUACUGACGCUGAUGUACGAAAGCAUGGGGAGCAAACAGGAUUAGAUACCCGCGUAGUCCCUGUCUCUUAUAC